AAUAUUUUUUUCUACAGCCGUCAAAAAAUCGUGACAUUUAUGCAUGGUUACCUAUGCGCGAAGUUUGACGUUUUUUCACUGUGAAAAAAUAUUAUUUUUUCACGGUUUCACAGUGAAAAAAUAAUAUUUUUUAACUGUGCAGGCAACUCGAUUUUUCAGAUCAUUUUGUUCCAACUUAUUUCUGUUACAAUUUUAGUAACACGAAAAGACAUCAACAGCAACCGAAAUGAAGAGACGGAUCGAUAAUGAGAGAAUGAAGUCUGAGCUGGUUGGUCUAUCCGCUGGAACGGCCUGACGAAAGAACUUCCUGACUUGUGAUUUGAAUUAUUAUUGACAAUGUAAUUAACGCCCCAAAUAAAAAUAUCUAUAUUACAAAUUAUCAGAAGUGGGAUAGACCAAGACCAGACACCAGAUAAAGAAUUGAAGUUCGUAUUAGUAGAGAUUUCCGUUCUGUUAUUAUUCUCGUUUAAUAAUUUUAAAGUGAAUUUGAAAUUUGAAAAAUUAAAUUGACAGUGUCAUUAAAUUAUAUUUGAGUGAUGGACUAAAAUUGUUAUAAGUGAGAUGGAAAGAGGUGUUUCAAAACAAAGGUUCAAAGUGUAUUGAAAACUAUGUUUAUUAUUAUUAUAAGAAAUUAUCAAUGUUGAAUGAAUUAGAAAUCUUUGGAAGACGAGCUGUUUCGUGUAUUAUCGGGGGAUGUAUUAGUGAGAACUAGUGCUAAAGCAGGCCAGUAUGAAAGUCCGGAAAUGCUCUUAUGUUAUCUUAGCAGUUUGACGGAAACGCAAAUUUUGAAUACCGAAUUUCAGCGCAAGUCACAGGAGACCGUUAUUUGUUACAAUUGUAAUAAGCCAGGGCAUAAAUUUAGAUACUGUAAAAUGCGAAAUUAAAAUGUUGCACAUUCGUUCGUUGUUAUUAUUGGACGGUAUCGGUCAUAUUUCGAAAAAAAAAAAAAACUGAAAAUUACAUUGGUUUAAAAUUUAAAAUAGAAAAUUUUAUCAAAAUAUUUUUGGAUGAAGAGUAAAAGACGUCUCGGGACGAGCCGAAUUUCAGGAUGGCCGAAUGUAAUAAAAAUAAUUUGUUAAAUACUAAAUUUAUUAACCAAUGAUGUGUUUGUGUUUGUGAAUCACAUUAGUUUGUGCGUAACUAUAUAAAAAUUAUAAUAAACAAAUUAUAUGAACUUCAAUCCUGACAAAAGCAGAACGAAGGCGUAAAUUUGAAUGAAGUCUGAGCUGGUUGGUCUAUCCGCUGGAACGGCCUGACGAAAGAACUUCCUGACUUGUGAUUUGAAUUAUUAUUGACAAUGUAAUUAACGCCCCAAAUAAAAAUAUCUAUA
This is a long non-coding RNA of Tribolium castaneum (red flour beetle), 1330 nucleotides long. RefSeq lists it as uncharacterized. NCBI's taxonomy places the organism in Eukaryota, Metazoa, Arthropoda, Insecta, Coleoptera, Tenebrionidae. The record is from RefSeq and is a predicted model, not a curated record. The transcript has 3 exons.